AAUCCAAUAUAGUGUAGGGGCUAUUACUUCGAGCUCACUUGUGGAGAACCGUGUAAGGCGGGUUCUAUUCCCCUAUCUGAG
This 81-nucleotide transfer RNA is filed under the name Yarrowia lipolytica. RNAcentral's name for it is "tRNA-Leu". The record is from RNAcentral. Lineage: Eukaryota; Fungi; Ascomycota; Dipodascomycetes; Dipodascales.